RNAcentral lists this ribosomal RNA (253 nucleotides) under uncultured bacterium. RNAcentral's name for it is "partial 16S ribosomal RNA". It matches the Rfam family "Bacterial small subunit ribosomal RNA", at positions 524 to 776 of the family's 1533-position model. The record is from RNAcentral.
UACGAAGGGUGCAAACGUUGCUCGGAAUUAUUGGGCGUAAAGCGCACGUAGGCGGCAUUGCAAGUCGGAUGUGAAAUCCCUCGGCUUAACCAAGGAAGUGCAUCCGAAACUGCAGUGCUUGAGUAAAGUUGAGGUAGGCGGAAUUGACGGUGUAGCGGUGAAAUGCUUAGAUAUCGUCAAGAACACCGAUAGUGUAGACAGCUUACUAAGCUUUAACUGACGCUGAGGCACGAAAGUGUGGGGAUCAAACAGG